RNAcentral lists this ribosomal RNA (484 nucleotides) under uncultured bacterium. RNAcentral describes it as "partial 16S ribosomal RNA". It matches the Rfam family "Bacterial small subunit ribosomal RNA", at positions 29 to 507 of the family's 1533-position model. The record is from RNAcentral.
AUUGAACGCUGGCGGCAUGCUUUACACAUGCAAGUCGAACGGCAGCGCGGGCUUCGGCCUGGCGGCGAGUGGCGAACGGGUGAGUAAUACAUCGGAACGUGCCCAGUAGUGGGGGAUAGCUCGGCGAAAGCCGGAUUAAUACCGCAUACGACCUGAGGGUGAAAGCGGGGGAUCUUCGGACCUCGCGCUAUUGGAGCGGCCGAUGGCAGAUUAGCUCGUUGGUGGGGUAAAGGCCUACCAAGGCGACGAUCUGUAGCUGGUCUGAGAGGACGACCAGCCACACUGGGACUGAGACACGGCCCAGACUCCUACGGGAGGCAGCAGUGGGGAAUUUUGGACAAUGGGCGAAAGCCUGAUCCAGCAAUGCCGCGUGUGUGAUGAAGGCCUUCGGGUUGUAAAGCACUUUUGGCGGGAACGAAAAGGACUGUGCCAAUACCACGGUUCGAUGACGGUACCCGCAGAAUAAGCACCGGCUAACUACGUG